AAUUUAAUUUAAUUUUUUUUAAUUAAUUUUUACGUUUGAAAUAAAAGAAUUCAAUUUUUUCAAUUUAAAAAAAAUAUAUAAAUAAAUAUUAUUAUGUGAGAACUGAAUUGAAUUCUUUUCCACAAAUGAUUUAUUCUAAAUGAAGCUAGAAGCUAAAAUGUGAGAUAGAUUAGAAUUAGAAUCAAUACUAAGGGGAAGAUGUUAGAGGGAGGAAAAGUUGCUUUACCGGUUUGUCAUGGAUACCAAGU
RNAcentral lists this unclassified non-coding RNA (248 nucleotides) under Hevea brasiliensis (rubber tree). The record is from RNAcentral. Lineage: Eukaryota; Viridiplantae; Streptophyta; Magnoliopsida; Malpighiales; Euphorbiaceae.